GAUGAACGCUGGCGGCGUGCCUAAUACAUGCAAGUCGAGCGAACAGACGAGGAGCUUGCUCCUUUGACGUUAGCGGCGGACGGGUGAGUAACACGUGGAUAACCUACCUAUAAGACUGGGAUAACUUCGGGAAACCGGAGCUAAUACCGGAUAACAUGUUGAACCGCAUGGUUCAACAGUGAAAGACGGUUUUGCUGUCACUUAUAGAUGGAUCCGCGCGGCAUUAGCUAGUUGGUAAGGUAACGGCUUACCAAGGCAACGAUGCGUAGCCGACCUGAGAGGGUGAUCGGCCACACUGGGGCUGAGACACGGUCCAGACGCCUACGGGAGGCAGCCGUAGGGAAUCGUCCGCAAUGGGCGAAAGCCUGACGGAGCAACGCCGCGUGAGUGAAGAAGGUCUUCGGAUCGUAAAACUCUGUUAUUAGGGAAGAACAAAUGUGUAAGUAACUAUGCACGUCUUGACGGUACCUAAUCAGAAAGCCACGGCUAACUACGUG
Molecule: ribosomal RNA, 497 nt
Filed under: uncultured bacterium
Lineage: Bacteria
Description: partial 16S ribosomal RNA
Rfam family: Bacterial small subunit ribosomal RNA
Source: RNAcentral